Long non-coding RNA from Triticum aestivum (bread wheat), 865 nucleotides. RefSeq lists it as uncharacterized. The record is from RefSeq and is a predicted model, not a curated record. Lineage: Eukaryota; Viridiplantae; Streptophyta; Magnoliopsida; Poales; Poaceae. The transcript has 2 exons.
CCUCCUCCGACGCGUCGCUUCCCCGGGCGAGGAGAAGCCUUGAUUUUUCUGACCUCCCCCGACAGAAGCCGCAACUGCCUUGCUCCACCACCGCCACAGCUCACCGCCGCCGUAACUGCCUCCUCCGCCACUCUCUCCUGCUCGCGCAGCUCCAGCUUGCCUUCCUCCCCUAGCUUCCCCCUCCCUAGUGACCUCCGCGCUCUGCUCCGUCUGCUUCAGAUCCGGCGUCGGCGAGGCUGAUAUGGUGGCUGCGAGGCCAGACGGUAGGAGACGUAGCCGACGAGCCCGACGACAGCAAGCUCGAUGGCGAGCUCGACGGCGGCGGAGACGUCUUCUGUACUGCGAGCUCCACCAUCCCUGCACAUACUGUACUGCGAGCUCGACGACGACGGUGGCGUCUUCUUGGAAGAAAAAGGGCCCAGGGGAAAGAACGCUGACGUUGGGGGCAAGACUCAUCGAGCAGGUGGCAAGUGAGAUCUUCAAAGCUUCGCAAGGAUGGCGCUUCGGGGUUCCGCGGCUGAAGGAUUAGGGAAGCUGCGACAUUUCAAGAGCUUGCUGCUGCUUUUGCUUUAGACUUGUCUUCUCCUCCGUUUAGCCUUUUGUGAUGGAAACUUGUAAUGAUCUGACUAUCCGGGGGGUGGGGGCUGUGUCCCUGGCCACUCCUUGCGCGGGUUUCGCUUUUACUCUCUGUUCCGCUUCUUAUUGUAAGACUUCUAGACUGCUCGUGGCUUCGGCCUGGUUUCUAUAAUGGAAAUCGGAGGGGAAACCCUCUUUUGCUCAAAAAAACAUGUUAAGGAAAAAGUUAGAGGAGGAACUUUCAAAGAUUAAUAAAGAGGAGGAGAUAAUGUGGUUACAGAGAUCGAAA